UGCAAGUCGAGGGGUAAAUAUGUAGCAAUAUAUAUGAGACCGGCGCACGGGUGCGUAACACGUAUGCAACCUACCUUUUACUGGGGAAUAGCUCAGAGAAAUCUGAAUUAAUACCCCAUAAUAUCCCGGAGCGGCAUCGCUUUCGGGAUUAAAGCUCCGGCGGUAAAAGAUGGGCAUGCGGAACAUUAGCUAGUUGGUGAGGUAAUGGCUCACCAAGGCUACGAUGUUUAGGGGGUCUGAGAGGAUGAUCCCCCACACUGGUACUGAGACACGGACCAGACUCCUACGGGAGGCAGCAGUAGGGAAUAUUGGUCAAUGGACGCAAGUCUGAACCAGCCAUGCCGCGUGCAGGAUGAAUGUCCUAUGGAUUGUAAACUGCUUUUUUACGGGAAGAAACCCCUGGAUGCGUCUGGGGCUGACGGUACCGUAAGAAUAAGGAUCGGCUAACUUCGUGCCAGCAGCCGCGGUAAGACGAAGGAUUCAAGCGUUGUCCGGAUUUACUGGGUUUAAAGGGUGCGUAGGCGGAAAUCUAAGUCAGUGGUGAAAUCCCGCAGCUUAACUGCGGAACUGCCAUUGAAACUGGUUUUCUUGAAUACAGUGGAGGUAGAUGGAAUAUAACAUGUAGCGGUGAAAUGCUUAGAUAUGUUAUAGAACACCGAUUGCGAAGGCAGUCUGCUACACUGUCAUUGACGCUGAGGCACGAAAGCGUGGGAAGCGAACAGGAUUAGAUACCCUGGUAGUCCACGCCCUAAACGUUGAUUACUCGCUGUUGGCGAUACACUGUCAGCGGCUAAGCGAAAGCGUUAAGUAAUCCACCUGGGAAGUACGUCCGCAAGGAUGAAACUCAAAGGAAUUGACGGGGGCCCGCACAAGC
This 874-nucleotide ribosomal RNA is filed under the name uncultured Bacteroidota bacterium. RNAcentral describes it as "bacterial SSU rRNA". It matches the Rfam family "Bacterial small subunit ribosomal RNA", at positions 56 to 930 of the family's 1533-position model. The record is from RNAcentral. Lineage: Bacteria; Pseudomonadati; Bacteroidota.